GCGCCAUCUUCCUUGGUGAGUGUUGUUGUGCCGGGUCUUCUGACUUUGAAUACAAUCCAUUAACAUCUGGCCUUCACGUGUGCCAUCAUCACAGCAGCCUAACUGUAAUUUUUUUGUCUUCUUUUUAGACACUCCUGCGCCAUGAGAGCGAAGUGGCGGAAGAAGCGAAUGCGCAGGCUGAAGCGCAAGAGAAGAAAGAUGAGGCAGAGGUCCAAGUAAAUAGACUUGGGCACCACGAAGGCCGCAGACGUGAAGGAUGCUGAAGUCCAGGACGCUGGUGCGAGCUGUCGGCGGUGGAACACCCUCUCGCCGAGACCACCUGAGAAGCAGGCUGCCUUGCCUACAACAGCCCGCUUGCCGUCUGCCCUGGACCUUUGUCAUUCUGGACUGGUUCUGUUCGCUUGUGGCCAAGUGUAACUCGUGUACAAUAAACCAUCCUCGCUGUCUGAGCUGAAGAAUCAAA
Molecule: long non-coding RNA, 463 nt
Organism: Psammomys obesus (fat sand rat)
Lineage: Eukaryota; Metazoa; Chordata; Mammalia; Rodentia; Muridae
Exons: 3
Source: RefSeq, a predicted model, not a curated record